CAAGCAAAAUGAAUUUUAGUUUGAACCCCCGAAACUAAGUGAGCUACUUCGAAACAGUUUUAAGAACAAACCCGUCUCUGUAGCAAUAGAGUGGAGUGAUUUCCAAGUAGAGGUGAUAAACCUACCGCACUUAGAGAUAGCUGGUUGCUCAAGAAAAGAAUUUUAGUUCAACCUUAAGUUUCUUAAUUACAUAAAAAAGAAUUUAAACUUAAGAGCUAUUCAUAUAAGGCACAGCUUAUUUGAAAUAGGACACAACCUCUAACACAGGGUAAUAAUUGUGAAUGGACACUAAGUGGGCCUAAAAGCAGCCACCUCCUAAAAAGCGUCAAAGCUUAAUACCAACUCUAUUUUAAUACCUCAACACACUCUAAACCCGUUAUCAUUAUUGAGCAAUUCCAUAAACCUAUGGAAGAUAUAAUGCUAGAACUAGUAACAAGAAAAACCUUCUCCAAAAUGUAAGCCUAAGCCACAAUAGAUACACUACUGGCAAUUAACGCAAGUGAACUUAAUAUAGUAACCCCAACAAGAAAACCCUAUAACUUUCAACGUCAACCUUACACUAGAACAUUUAUGGAAAGAUAAAAGAAAAAGAAGGAACUCGGCAAAACUUAACUC
RNAcentral lists this ribosomal RNA (615 nucleotides) under Gephyromantis malagasius. RNAcentral describes it as "partial 16S ribosomal RNA". The stretch from base 1 to 424 matches the Rfam family "Bacterial large subunit ribosomal RNA", at positions 687 to 1300 of the family's 2925-position model. The record is from RNAcentral. Lineage: Eukaryota; Metazoa; Chordata; Amphibia; Anura; Mantellidae.